This 238-nucleotide ribosomal RNA is filed under the name uncultured bacterium. RNAcentral describes it as "partial 16S ribosomal RNA". It matches the Rfam family "Bacterial small subunit ribosomal RNA", at positions 15 to 244 of the family's 1533-position model. The record is from RNAcentral.
GAUCCUGGCUCAGGAUGAACGCUGGCGGCGUGCCUAAUACAUGCAAGUCGAACGCUUUGUAAAGGAGCUUGCUUCUUUACGAGGAGUGGCGAACGGGUGAGUAAUACAUAAGCAAUCUGCCCAUCGGCCUGGGAUAACAGUUGGAAACGGCUGCUAAUACCGGAUAGGUUAGUUUCUGGCAUCAGGAACUAAUUAAAGUUGGGAUACAACACGGAUGGAUGAGCUUAUGGCGUAUUAG